GACGAACGCUGGCGGCGUGCUUAACACAUGCAAGUCGAACGGUAAGGCCCUUCGGGGUACCCGAGUGGCGAACGGGUGAGUAACGCGUGAGUAACCUGCCCUUCACUCUGGGAUAACAGUUGGAAACGGCUGCUAAUACCGGAUAUUCCGCUCCUGUCGCAUGGUGGGGGUUGGCAAGUUUUGGUGGUGGAGGAUGGGCUCGCGUCCUCUCAGCUUGCUGGUGGGGUGAUGGCCUACCAAGGCGUCGACGGGUAGCCGGCCUGUGAGGGCGACCGGCCACAUUGGGACUGGGAUACGGCCCAAACUCGUACGGGAGGCAGCAGUGGGGAAUAUUGCACAGUGGGCGGAAGCCUGAUGCAGCAACGCCGCGUGCGGGAUGACGGCCUUCGGGUUGUAAACCGCUUUCAGCAGGGACGAAGCGCAAGUGACGGUACCUGCAGAAGAAGCACCGGCUAACUACGUG
RNAcentral lists this ribosomal RNA (463 nucleotides) under uncultured bacterium. Its description in RNAcentral is "partial 16S ribosomal RNA". It matches the Rfam family "Bacterial small subunit ribosomal RNA", at positions 28 to 507 of the family's 1533-position model. The record is from RNAcentral.